UAGAGUUUGAUCCUGGCUCAGAUUGACCGUUGGAGGCAUGCUUUACACAUGCAAGUCGAACGGCAGCACGCCUUUUUGCUCCUGGUGGCGAGUGGCGAACGGGUGAGUAAUGCAUCGGAACGUACCCAGUAGUGGGGGAUAGCCCGGCGAAAGCCGGAUUAAUACCGCAUAUUUCCUGAGGGAGAAAGCGGGGGACCUUCGGGCCUCGCGCUACUGGAGCGGCUGAUGCCGGAUUAGCUAGUUGGUGAGGUAAAGGCUCACCAAGGCGACGAUCCGUAGCUGGUCUGAGAGGAUGAUCAGCCACACUGGGACUGAGACACGGCCCAGACUCCUACGGGAGGCAGCAGUGGGGAAUUUUGGACAAUGGGGGCAACCCUGAUCCAGCCAUGCCGCGUGAGUGAAGAAGGCCUUCGGGUUGUAAAGCUCUUUCAGGUGGAAAGAAAUCACUACCC
RNAcentral lists this ribosomal RNA (452 nucleotides) under uncultured bacterium. RNAcentral describes it as "bacterial SSU rRNA". It matches the Rfam family "Bacterial small subunit ribosomal RNA", at positions 1 to 459 of the family's 1533-position model. The record is from RNAcentral.